Molecule: ribosomal RNA, 561 nt
Filed under: Kocuria rhizophila
Lineage: Bacteria; Bacillati; Actinomycetota; Actinomycetes; Micrococcales; Micrococcaceae
Description: bacterial SSU rRNA
Rfam family: Bacterial small subunit ribosomal RNA
Source: RNAcentral
UUGGAUGGGCUCACGGCCUAUCAGCUUGUUGGUGGGGUAAUGGCUCACCAAGGCGACGACGGGUAGCCGGCCUGAGAGGGUGACCGGCCACACUGGGACUGAGACACGGCCCAGACUCCUACGGGAGGCAGCAGUGGGGAAUAUUGCACAAUGGGCGGAAGCCUGAUGCAGCGACGCCGCGUGAGGGAUGACGGCCUUCGGGUUGUAAACCUCUUUCAGCACGGAAGAAGCGAAAGUGACGGUACGUGCAGAAGAAGCGCCGGCUAACUACGUGCCAGCAGCCGCGGUAAUACGUAGGGCGCAAGCGUUGUCCGGAAUUAUUGGGCGUAAAGAGCUCGUAGGCGGUUUGUCGCGUCUGCUGUGAAAGCCCGGGGCUUAACCCCGGGUGUGCAGUGGGUACGGGCAGACUUGAGUGCAGUAGGGGAGACUGGAAUUCCUGGUGUAGCGGUGAAAUGCGCAGAUAUCAGGAGGAACACCGAUGGCGAAGGCAGGUCUCUGGGCUGUUACUGACGCUGAGGAGCGAAAGCAUGGGGAGCGAACAGGAUUAGAUACCCUGGUAGU